UACGUAGGGACCGAGCGUUGUCCGGAAUCAUUGGGCGUAAAGAGCGUGUAGGCGGCCACUUAAGUCCUGCGUGAAAUCUUGCGGCUCAACCGCAAGCGGUCGUGGGAAACUGGGUGGCUAGAGUGCGGGAGAGGAGAGUGGAAUUCCUGGUGUAGCGGUGGAAUGCGCAGAUAUCAGGAAGAACACCCGUGGCGAAGGCGGCUCUCUGGACAGUUCCUGACACUGAGGCACGAAGGCUAGGGGAGCGAACGGG
This 253-nucleotide ribosomal RNA is filed under the name uncultured bacterium. RNAcentral's name for it is "partial 16S ribosomal RNA". It matches the Rfam family "Bacterial small subunit ribosomal RNA", at positions 524 to 776 of the family's 1533-position model. The record is from RNAcentral.